GACGAACGCUGGCGGCGUGCCUAAUACAUGCAAGUAGAACGCUGAAGAGAGGAGCUUGCUCUUCUUGGAUGAGUUGCGAACGGGUGAGUAACGCGUGGGUAACCUGCCUGGUAGCGGGGGAUAACUAUUGGAAACGAUAGCUAAUACCGCAUAAAAUUGAUUAUUGCAUGAUAAUUAAUUGAAAGAUGCAACUGCAUCACUACCAGAUGGACCUGCGUUGUAUUAGCUAGUUGGUGAGGUAACGGCUCACCAAGGCGACGAUACAUAGCCGACCUGAGAGGGUGAUCGGCCACACUGGGACUGAGACACGGCCCAGACUCCUACGGGAGGCAGCAGUAGGGAAUCUUCGGCAAUGGGGGGAACCCUGACCGAGCAACGCCGCGGGAGUGAAGAAGGGUGUCGGAUCGGAAAGCUCUGUUGUAAGAGAAGAACGGGUGUGAGAGUGGAAAGUUCACACUGUGACGGUAGCUUACCAGAAAGGGACGGCUAACUACGUG
This 497-nucleotide ribosomal RNA is filed under the name uncultured bacterium. RNAcentral's name for it is "partial 16S ribosomal RNA". It matches the Rfam family "Bacterial small subunit ribosomal RNA", at positions 28 to 507 of the family's 1533-position model. The record is from RNAcentral.